This 443-nucleotide ribosomal RNA is filed under the name uncultured bacterium. RNAcentral describes it as "partial 16S ribosomal RNA". It matches the Rfam family "Bacterial small subunit ribosomal RNA", at positions 338 to 795 of the family's 1533-position model. The record is from RNAcentral.
CCUACGGGUGGCAGCAGUGGGGAAUAUUGCACAAUGGGCGCAAGCCUGAUGCAGCAACGCCGCGUGAAGGAAGAAGGGUUUCGGCUUGUAAACCUCUAUCAACAGGGAAGUAAGAAAUGACGGUACAUGAAUAAGAAGCAGCUACCAACGACGAGACAGCCGCCGCGGUACUACGUAGGGGGCCAGCGUUAGCCGGAUUUACGGGGUGUAAAGGGGGAGUAGGCGGGAUGAUAAGCCAGAUGUGAAAGCCUGGGGCUGAACCGGAGAAUUGCAGUUGGAACUGUCGAGCUUGAGUGCAGGCGAGGAAAGCGGAAGUCCUAGUGUAGCGGUGAAAUGCGUAGAUAUUAGGAAGAACACCAGUGGCGAAGGCGGCUUUCUGGACUGAAACUGACGCUGAGGCACGAAAGCGUGGGGAGCGAACAGGAUUAGAUACCCGGGUAGUC